UCAAACAUCAAGCCUGGCUUGGUAUUGGGUGUCGGGGCCUGGCCCCGCGCCCCAAUUUCGCCGGCUGGACGACUCCGACUUCAAGCGUUGCGACGUAACAGUUCUUCGCGAGGGGGAGGGACGCGCCACGCCGUUAAACCUUUUACAAA
Molecule: unclassified non-coding RNA, 149 nt
Filed under: uncultured Capnodiales
Lineage: Eukaryota; Fungi; Ascomycota; Dothideomycetes; Capnodiales
Description: sequence contains ITS2
Source: RNAcentral